CUAGGAACCCUGAUGAAAGUCGGGGGUGCCCGCAAGGGAACCUAGAGACAGGUGCUGCAUGGCUGUCGUCAGCUCGUGUCGUGAGAUGUUGGGUUAAGUCCCGCAACGAGCGCAACCCUUGUCCUUAGUUGCUAACGGGUAAGCCGAGCUCUCUAGGGAGACUGCCCGCGAAAGCGGGAGGAAGGCGGGGAUGACGUCUAGUCCGCAUGGCCCUUACGGCCUGGGCGACAC
This 231-nucleotide ribosomal RNA is filed under the name Halomonas sp. Its description in RNAcentral is "partial 16S ribosomal RNA". It matches the Rfam family "Bacterial small subunit ribosomal RNA", at positions 989 to 1219 of the family's 1533-position model. Lineage: Bacteria; Pseudomonadati; Pseudomonadota; Gammaproteobacteria; Oceanospirillales; Halomonadaceae. The record is from RNAcentral.